This is a long non-coding RNA of Carassius gibelio (silver crucian carp), 754 nucleotides long. RefSeq lists it as uncharacterized. The transcript has 3 exons. The record is from RefSeq and is a predicted model, not a curated record. Lineage: Eukaryota; Metazoa; Chordata; Actinopteri; Cypriniformes; Cyprinidae.
GCACAGUGAAAGACUCAAUUUUUCACAUUAUAAAGUCAUCAAAAAUAUGAAAUCACUCAAAGGGAAUUAUGGAAAUUAUAUAGUGAUGAAAAAAAGUUAAACAAAUAAAACAUUCUUAUAUUUUAGCUUCUUUAAACUAGCUGCCCUAUGUCUAGAUUGUAGCUCUGCAGACUCUGACCAACUUCAUGAGGUGUCACCUAAGAUGCCUUUUAAAGAGUAUUGAAGGAGCUCCCAAUAUAUUGUGAAUGUUGUUGGCUGUGGUGUAUCAUCUUUCAUAUGCAUUAUUAAUUGUAUAUAUUUUUAAUGGAUAAAAAUGAAUUAAUCAGUACAUAAUUUAAAACCAUUAAUAACAAGCCUUAAAUCACACACAUACGCUCAGUCUUUUCUGGAGCUGUAUAUGUGUGAUUGUAGAUUGUAGAGCUGCAGAAAGAAGUGGCAGAGCUGGAGAAGCAUUGAGAUGAGUUGGAGGCCGAAAUAGAAUCAAAGAAAGCCAAAUACCUGGAGGAGAUAGAGGAGCUGGAGAAUUACAUCUGUCAGCUGGAGGAGGAGGAGGCUGAUCUUCAGUUCUAGAUGAAGGAUCUGAGUGGGGACUGUGAAGAACUGAUGAAUCAGAAGAUGAAUCUGGACAUCGAAAUUGCUGCUUACAGGCUGUCUCAACCAGACCCAGGCCCUGACUGCCAUCACCACGUACUCCAAAACAGCAGAGAGGAAGGUCUACGGGUUCAUGUUUAAUAAACAAUCCAGUGAAAAAUAA